Long non-coding RNA from Sinocyclocheilus grahami, 2274 nucleotides. The record is from Ensembl. Lineage: Eukaryota; Metazoa; Chordata; Actinopteri; Cypriniformes; Cyprinidae.
CCAAAUUAUUGAAAUAGAGAAAGAAGCUGGGAGUUUGCAAGACAAACCAUUGUGUCCACAGCAGAACUAUGACUCUAAACCAGUGAAUACAGCCGGUGAUGAUCCCAGCCAAGAAAGAGACAGUCCAGCACAGCAAAACACCAUAUAUGACUCUGAAAUGGAGGUGACCGUUAGUGACAGUGCUGCUGAAAUAGUAACAGUUGAAACAAAUGCAAGAAGAACCUCUAGAGUUACAGAGGAACAUCAGGAAAAGAAGGGUUUGUGUCUGUCAGAAAAAGAUAGUGCGGUUAUAUCUGCAAAGUUAGACUCACCAAUUGAAUUUAGUAGAUCAGACUAUACAUCAGCUGUGCCAAAUGAGACGACCGCUGUGACACAGCAGUGCUCUCCUACUGUUCAGAAUGAAGUGGAAAAUGGGCAGCAAACAGAGUCAAUAACUGCACGCAGGAAGACUCACGUCACCUCUCGUACUAAAAGUAGCAGACGUACAGGUAAACGGAAGGAACCAUACCCAGACCCAAGAAAAACAUACGUAAUCUCCCAAGAUCCUCCUUAUGACAUUUUUAAUGAUUGUUUUAGUGAUCUCGAGCUUCAGAAUUCUGAAAGAAGCAAGGCAAUUGAAAAUACUUCAAGUAAAGCUGUUAAAAACAAAGCUAAAGAGUCCCAUGCUACGCAGGAACCCAGGAGAACAUUUAUAGUUCAAGAUGAGCUAAGACCUCAGAAGAUCAGGAAGACCAAAGUUUUGUCCCUUAUGAUGGAUCACGGUUUAUCUGAUGUUCAUGAAAAUGUCCAGUCUGCCAGUAGUUUAUGCUUCGAGUCUGCUUGUACUGAUGUGCAUGUCGGUGAGACCGCUGUUCAAAAACAUAAAAACAAAACUCCAGCACACCCACUUCCUCAGUCUGAAAAGUGCAAGACACAGAAAAACAGAGGAACAUUUGUGAUACAGGCAAGUCAAUCAUUCAUCAACAGGAAUUCAUUUUUGGAUGAAACCAAUAUAUUAGAGGAUCCCAACAGACCGGAAGGUUUGCAGGAAGUAAUAUCAGAAACCCAAACAACACCUCUCAAUAUUGGUUCAGAUAAUGUUGCACAACAGCACAAGGCGCCAGAGCAUGAUUUUCUUCAUAAGAUAUUGACAGAAAACACCUAUCAUCCAGAAUGUUCACAAGAUGUGAGUGCCAGCCUUGUACAGGAACCCUCUGAAUUUACGUCAUCAGUGGCUGGUAAAGCCAAAAAACACAGAAAAGAGGGGGAAGAUAAAAUAAAAAAGAAGAAUGCUGCAUCAAGAGAAAAACCCAAAGCAUUAACAAAGAAACAAAACAUUUGUGCUGUGCGUAUGGAUGAAAAUGUGUUGACUGGAAGGCAAGAUAUGAUUGAUCUUCAGAAUGGAGCAGGAGGCAGGUCUUUGUCUAAUACUUUACAGUUUCCAGUAAUAUCUCACUGCUCAGCCUCAGAGGAGGACCUCAGGGAUGAAUGUAAUGCUGAAACCCUUGGAAUAAGCUCUCCUUCCUCUGUUGACAAGCUUGAUCAGACUAACCACACUAACAUGGACUCUCUUAGCAUAAAUCUAGAUCAAACCAACCAAGCUCUUGAGGGCAGGUGCAGGAAAACAUAUGUUGUUUCAUCUUCACAUAAAUCCCCCAUUAAGAAAAAAACUGAUAGUGGAGCUUCCAGUGACAUUUCUGAACAUGAUCUUUUUACUAAUGAAAUGGAUAAUGUUUCAUCUGUCAUUAACAGAAGCAUGUUUGCCAUGGAAAAAUAUAAUGUCACUUCAGAUGGUUUUAGUGGACCCACAAAAAACCUUCAGUUUACAGAGGAGAGGCCUCCCUGGGAGACCCUUGAUGGUUACACUGAAACACUCUCAGAUGAAAGCUCUGCCCAUAGCCCUCAACCAGAGACCCGCAGUCAAACUAUGAACAUUUACCAAGACCAGGACUCAGACUUGAGGCACCAAGCUCCAGAAGAAGGCAGGGUUAUGAAGAGUCUAACAAAUACAGAGCAUAACUCUGAUUUCGAGAGAACACGAAGAAGAGCAGCACCAGUCUCCUACAAAGAACCAGCCCUCAACUGCAAGAUGAGGCGUGGGGACAAAUACUCUGAUACAAAAUUCUUAAACUCUCCGGUGUUCAAAGACAAAAAGAAGAAGAAAUUAACUUAGGACUGAUUUUCCCAUUUAUUGAUUUCAGAUUUUUAUUUGGUUUUUCUCUACUUUUUGUCUUUUUAUGUAAUGAAAAUGUUUAAUAGAACGAUAUUAAAGUAUUAAAUCAUUUUUAAUCACAG